CGGAUUGUAGUCUGCAACUCGACUACAUGAAGCUGGAAUCGCUAGUAAUCGCGAAUCAGAAUGUCGCGGUGAAUACGUUCCCGGGUCUUGUACACACCGCCCGUCACACCAUGGGAGUCAGUAACGCCCGAAGUCAGUGACCCAACCGGAACCGGAGGGAGCUGCCGAAGGUGGGACCGAUAACUGGGGUGAAGUCGUAACAAGGUAUC
This 209-nucleotide ribosomal RNA is filed under the name uncultured bacterium. RNAcentral's name for it is "partial 16S ribosomal RNA". It matches the Rfam family "Bacterial small subunit ribosomal RNA", at positions 1294 to 1500 of the family's 1533-position model. The record is from RNAcentral.